UCCAGACUCCUACGGGAGGCAGCAGUGAGGAAUAUUGGUCAAUGGUCGGGAGACUGAACCAGCCAAGCCGCGUGAGGGAUGAAGGUACAGAGUAUCGUAAACCUCUUUUGUCAGGGAGCAAAGGCGGGGACGUGUCCCCGGAUGAGUGUACCUGAAGAAAAAGCAUCGGCUAACUCCGUGCCAGCAGCCGCGGUAAUACGGAGGAUGCGAGCGUUAUCCGGAUUUAUUGGGUUUAAAGGGUGCGUAGGCGGAUUUGUAAGUCAGCGGUAAAAAUGCGGUGCUCAACGCCGUAUCGCCGUUGAAACUGCAGGUCUUGAGUGAGCGAGAAGUAUGCGGAAUGCGUGGUGUAGCGGUGAAAUGCAUAGAUAUCACGCAGAACUCCGAUUGCGAAGGCAGCAUACCGGCGCUCAACUGACGCUGAGGCACGAAAGCGUGGGGAUCGAACAGGAUUAGAUACCCGAGUAAU
Molecule: ribosomal RNA, 466 nt
Filed under: uncultured bacterium
Lineage: Bacteria
Description: bacterial SSU rRNA
Rfam family: Bacterial small subunit ribosomal RNA
Source: RNAcentral